GUGUUUGUAGUCUAAAGGUUAGGAUAAUUGCCUUCCAAGCAAUAGACCCGGGUUUCACUCCCGGCAAACGCA
Molecule: transfer RNA, 72 nt
Organism: Ipomoea nil (Japanese morning glory)
Lineage: Eukaryota; Viridiplantae; Streptophyta; Magnoliopsida; Solanales; Convolvulaceae
Rfam family: tRNA
About the family: Transfer RNA (tRNA) molecules are approximately 80 nucleotides in length.
Source: Rfam